CGGUACGUACUGGCAUUGUUGGUUUCUCCCUUCUGACGAACCAUGAUGUCAUUUAUUUGGUGUUGUGGGGAAUCAGGACUGUUACUUUGAAAAAAUUAGAGUGUUUAAAGCAGGCUCACGCUUGAAUACAUUAGCAUGGAAUAAUGAAAUAGGACGUUUGAUUCUAUUUUGUUGGUUUCUAGGAUCGACGUAAUGAUUAAUAGGGAUAGUUGGGGGCAUUAGUAUUCAAUUGUCAGAGAUGAAAUUCUUGGAUUUAUUGAAGACUAACUACUGCGAAAGCAUUUGCCAAGGAUGUUUUCAUUAAUCAAGAACGAAAGUUAGGGGAUCGAAGACGAUCAGAUACCGUCGUAGUCUUAACCAUAAACUAUGCCGACUAGGGAUCGGAUGAUGUUAAUUUUUUAAUGACUCAUUCGGCGCCUUACG
This 423-nucleotide ribosomal RNA is filed under the name uncultured Glomeromycotina. Its description in RNAcentral is "SSU rRNA". It matches the Rfam family "Eukaryotic small subunit ribosomal RNA", at positions 671 to 1092 of the family's 1831-position model. The record is from RNAcentral. Lineage: Eukaryota; Fungi; Glomeromycota.